CGACGCCGCGUGGGUGAAGAAGGCCUGCGGGUUGUAAAGCCCUUUCGGUGGGGAAGAAAAGCCUCGAGUUAACACCUCGGGGUCUUGACGUAACCCAUAGAAGAAGCACCGGCUAACUCUGUGCCAGCAGCCGCGGUAAUACAGAGGGUGCGAGCGUUAAUCGGAAUUACUGGGCGUAAAGCGCGCGUAGGCGGCUUUGCAAGUCGGGUGUGAAAUCCCCAGGCUUAACCUGGGAACUGCAUUCGAGACUGCAUUGCUAGAGUAUGGGAGAGGGAAGUGGAAUUUCCGGUGUAGCGGUGAAAUGCGUAGAUAUCGGAAGGAACAUCAGUGGCGAAAGCGACUUCCUGGACCAAUACUGACGCUCAUGUGCGAAAGCGUGGGGAGCAAACAGGAUUAGAUACCCUGGUAGUCCACGCCAUAAACGAUGAGAACUGGAUGUCGGGAGGGUCUGCCUCUCGGUGUCGUAGCUAACGCGUUAAGUUCUCCGCCUGGGGAGUACGGCCGCAAGGUUG
RNAcentral lists this ribosomal RNA (512 nucleotides) under uncultured Pseudomonadota bacterium. RNAcentral's name for it is "bacterial SSU rRNA". It matches the Rfam family "Bacterial small subunit ribosomal RNA", at positions 392 to 896 of the family's 1533-position model. The record is from RNAcentral. Lineage: Bacteria; Pseudomonadati; Pseudomonadota.